RNAcentral lists this long non-coding RNA (1709 nucleotides) under Homo sapiens (human). RNAcentral describes it as "non-protein coding ADAMTS9-AS2:18". The record is from RNAcentral. Lineage: Eukaryota; Metazoa; Chordata; Mammalia; Primates; Hominidae.
AGUCCUAUCCCUACGGUCCUGGAAUUGGGGGUUACUAUCUUGGAAUCUAGGGGCACUCCAGGCUCUGGGCUCAGACGGCUGGCUUCUGCCUACCCGAGCCUUAACCUUUCAAGGACCAGAAGGAUUCCAGAGCUCUUGCCCUAGGUCCUGGGGCAGCGAUGACUCACUGCAGCACCCCCUCCCACUUCGCCAAGCUGCCGUCUCCGCCCACCCCCAAACAAUCUCGACAGCGCAUUUCGGGAGCCACGGCUCCGGGCGCUUUGCUGGGGGCUAAAGGGGUUUAUCCCUUUCCUUGAAUCCCAGCAGGCUAGAACUACCCCCUCCCAGUCUUCAGGCUUGCCACGCUCUCCACCCGAUCCUUCCAUUGAAAGGCAGAGAAGGAAGGAUGUGCUUGGGAACUUUAAGACCCACGAACGACAGCGCACUGAUGGAGCAGCCCAGUGUCUGGGGCAAAGUCCUCGAGGUUCAUUCAUUCAGGAAGCCUCUGACCAGCCUUUACCAUGCGCUGAGUGAGAAGCUGAGGAUAAGGAAAGAGCAAGACCCCCAAGAAACCCUGAUGUCUGGCUGAAAGCCGAAGCAUGACGCAACUUUGCUAUAUUUCUCUCCAACAAGGAUUUGUAUAUUUUCGCUUUCUCCUCAAGUAACACCUGGACCUGCUCCUUUCCCUUCAAACGCUGAGGGCUCAGUCUCCAAGUUCCUUUAUGAAACAGGGUGUACCAUCAGAGACGCAGGUAUUUAUUGAAACCUGCUUUGUGCUGGGCAAUGUGCCAGAUGUUGGGGAUAAAAUGGAGACUUCAGAAAUGAAGAUGCAAAGACAACAGGGGAAACCAUAUAUGUUUAUGGACAGUCAUGCCAAAGUAUGAUUGGAAGACAAAAAGUGCCCUGAACAGUCCCUACAGAAGCAGUGAAGUAGUCAACAAACAUCUCAUGUCUACUUGGGAUGGAGCACUGGCUCAGGUCCUGGGGAGGAGUGGAGGGGGACACAAAGACAAGUAAGACAAGGUACCUGUCUAACGGUGAAGUGGGGGAGUUAGACUUAUACACUAACUCAUAGUAAGGGCUCGGUCAAAAGGAUGGUGUUGGGGGAGGGUGGGUGUCCAGGUCUGUAGACUCAGAAUUCAAAACUGGGGUUCUGGAGUGCCCGCUUUGCAGAAAUUGCUGUAAAAUGUCACCAAUUUUACUCACACUUGGACUAAAAGAAUAAAUGAAGUCAUGGCUUACUUUAAAAACUGAGCUUAUGACAGACACGAGACAGUCUUACUGACAUCUAGAAAGAGACAACUGGCCUGGAUAGAGGGAGCUUAUAUUUUUUACUCUAAUGGCAAUACUACUUUUUACAGAAAAAGAAUCAAAGAAAUAGUAAAUAAAAAUCAGACUGACUCGAAUAUUUAAAAAGAAGAAAAAAAGUAGUGCACGUUAAUCCUCCAAUUCAGGGGCAAUUACUAUUCAUAUUCUCAACCAUAUGUAAUAACUGGGGUAGUGAAAAUGCAUUUCUUUCCUCCCACCAUUUGCAUACUUGGAAUCUCACUUACAUUGCAUGUAGGUUAGAGAAAAAAGAUGCUGCUUUGUUUGGAUUUUGCUUUUGCUGUGGAAUCCAUUAGACAGCAAUGUGCUUUGUAUGUCAAAGAGUAGAAAGGCUCCAUUUCCUCUUUUCAAAAUGUUUUUAGCAGAAGUCAACCACUGUAUUUAUUCCAUGAAGUUCUCCAUUU